CCUCGGAGCGGCUUCGUCCUGGAGGGCUGGCUGCACAGCCUCCAGGCACUCUGGGGAGCGCCAGGACAAGACUGCCAGAUGUGCCCCAGAGCGUUCUUUAGCAUGGGGGGAGUGAACAGGAAGGAGGGAGCCACCAGCAAGCCCUUUGGGGGCGCCCUCAGCCUCCACCUCCCAGAAGACGCCUUACAUCCUUGGCUCUGCCCUAAAAGUGUCCCCGUCUUCCGGGUCCUGCUUGGAGCCGCAGGUAUCUCACUAGCUCUCUAGACUGCACCUGGUGAGCUCGGAGCUCUGGGCCAGGCUUCUCCUGC
Long non-coding RNA from Heterocephalus glaber (naked mole-rat), 308 nucleotides. The record is from Ensembl. Lineage: Eukaryota; Metazoa; Chordata; Mammalia; Rodentia; Bathyergidae.